RNAcentral lists this ribosomal RNA (493 nucleotides) under uncultured bacterium. RNAcentral's name for it is "partial 16S ribosomal RNA". It matches the Rfam family "Bacterial small subunit ribosomal RNA", at positions 28 to 507 of the family's 1533-position model. The record is from RNAcentral.
GACGAACGCUGGCGGCGUGCUUAACACAUGCAAGUCGAACGGUGAAGGGACCGGUUUUUGCUGGUUCUGGAUGAGUGGCGAACGGGUGAGUAACACGUGAGUAACCUGCCCCCUUCUUCUGGAUAACCGCAUGAAAGUGUGGCUAAUACGGGAUAUUCUGCGCCUGCUGCAUGGUGGGUGUGGGAAAGAUAUUGUUUCGGUGGGGGAUGGGCUCGCGGCCUAUCAGCUUGUUGGUGGGGUGAGGGCCUACCAAGGCGGUGACGGGUAGCCGGCCUGAGAGGGUGGACGGCCACACUGGGACUGAGACACGGCCCAGACUCCGACGGGAGGCAGCAGUGGGGAAUAGUGCACAAUGGGCGCAAGCCUGAUGCAGCGACGCCGCGUGAGGGAUGGAGGCCUGCGGGUUGUAAACCUCUUUCGCCAGUGAAGCAGGCCUGUCCCUUUUGUGGGUGGGUUGACGGUAGCUGGAGAAGAAGCGCCGGCUAACUACGUG